Molecule: ribosomal RNA, 447 nt
Filed under: uncultured bacterium
Lineage: Bacteria
Description: partial 16S ribosomal RNA
Rfam family: Bacterial small subunit ribosomal RNA
Source: RNAcentral
AACGAACGCUGGCGGCAGGCUUAACACAUGCAAGUCGAGCGCCCCGCAAGGGGAGCGGCAGACGGGUGAGUAACACGUGGGAAGCUACCCAUCUCUACGGAACAACUCCGGGAAACUGGAGCUAAUACCGUACACGCCCUUUGGGGGAAAGGUUUAUCGGAGAUGGAUGAGCCCGCGUAGGAUUAGCUAGUUGGUGGGGUAAAGGCCUACCAAGGCGACGAUCCAUAGCUGGUCUGAGAGGAUGAUCAGCCACACUGGGACUGAGACACGGCUCAGACUCCUACGGGAGGCAGCAGUGGGGAAUAUUGGACAAUGGGCGCAAGCCUGAUCCAGCCAUGCCGCGUGAGUGAUGAAGGCCCUAGGGUUGUAAAGCUCUUUCACCGGUGAAGAUAAUGACGGUAACCGGAGAAGAAGCCCCUGCUAACUUCGUGCCAGCCGCCGCCGUAA